RNAcentral lists this transfer RNA (72 nucleotides) under Paenibacillus sp. PDC88. RNAcentral's name for it is "tRNA_Asp_GTC". It matches the Rfam family "tRNA". Rfam says of the family: Transfer RNA (tRNA) molecules are approximately 80 nucleotides in length. Their secondary structure includes four short double-helical elements and three loops (D, anti-codon, and T loops). The record is from RNAcentral. Lineage: Bacteria; Bacillati; Bacillota; Bacilli; Caryophanales; Paenibacillaceae.
GGCUCUAUCGUUUAUCGGUUAGGACAUUCCGUUGUCAGCGGAGAGGGAGGGGUUCGAUUCCCCUUAGAGCCG